CGCACGGGUGAGUAACACGUAUCCAACCUGCCGUCUACUCUUGGACAGCCUUCUGAAAGGAAGAUUAAUACAAGAUGGCAUCAUGAGUCCGCAUGUUCACAUGAUUAAAGGUAUUCCGGUAGACGAUGGGGAUGCGUUCCAUUAGAUAGUAGGCGGGGUAACGGCCCACCUAGUCUUCGAUGGAUAGGGGUUCUGAGAGGAAGGUCCCCCACAUCGGAACUGAGACACGGUCCAA
Molecule: ribosomal RNA, 235 nt
Filed under: uncultured bacterium
Lineage: Bacteria
Description: partial 16S ribosomal RNA
Rfam family: Bacterial small subunit ribosomal RNA
Source: RNAcentral